GACGAACGCUGGCGGCGUGCUUAACACAUGCAAGUCGAACGGAAAGGCCCUGCUUGCAGGGUACUCGAGUGGCGAACGGGUGAGUAACACGUGGGUGAUCUGCCCUGCACUUCGGGAUAAGCCUGGGAAACUGGGUCUAAUACCGGAUAGGAGCCAUUUUUAGUGUGAUGGUUGGAAAGUUUUUUCGGUGUAGGAUGAGCUCGCGGCCUAUCAGCUUGUUGGUGGGGUAAUGGCCUACCAAGGCGGCGACGGGUAGCCGGCCUGAGAGGGUGGACGGCCACAUUGGGACUGAGAUACGGCCCAGACUCCUACGGGAGGCAGCAGUGGGGAAUAUUGCACAAGGGGCGCAAGCCUGAUGCAGCGACGCCGCGGGGGGGAUGACGGCCUUCGGGUUGUAAACUCCUUUCGCUAGGGACGAAGCUUUUUGUGACGGUACCUAGAUAAGAAGCGCCGGCUAACUACGUG
Molecule: ribosomal RNA, 465 nt
Filed under: uncultured bacterium
Lineage: Bacteria
Description: partial 16S ribosomal RNA
Rfam family: Bacterial small subunit ribosomal RNA
Source: RNAcentral